UACGUAGGGGGCUAGCGUUGUCCGGAUUUAUUGGGCGUAAAGAGCGUGUAGGCGGCCUGGUAGGUCUGCUGUGAAAACUCGAGGCUCAACCUCGAGAUGUCGGCGGAAACCAUCUGGCUAGAGUCCGGAAGAGGAGAGUGGAAUUCCUGGUGUAGCGGUGAAAUGCGCAGAUAUCAGGAAGAACACCGAUGGCGAAGGCAGCUCUCUGGGACGGUACUGACGCUGAGACGCGAAAGCGUGGGGAGCGAACAGG
This 253-nucleotide ribosomal RNA is filed under the name uncultured bacterium. RNAcentral describes it as "partial 16S ribosomal RNA". It matches the Rfam family "Bacterial small subunit ribosomal RNA", at positions 524 to 776 of the family's 1533-position model. The record is from RNAcentral.